CAACAAUGUAUUGUACAAUAUCCUGCCCUGUGGGAGGUCUAUUGAGUGAAAGCACUCUGAGCUUCAGUUGUUUGCGGUGCAUCCCUGGGACCAGGAUGAAUGAAAUCUCAAGUCCUGGUCUCAAGUCCCUGCGACCUUCAGCUCUGGCUUUAAGUCCUCAGUUUGCAUCCUACCUCAGCCUAAGUAUUCAAGCCUCAAAAGAAACCCAUUUUGGAUCAAGCUCCGGCUGACAGCUCAAUACCGACAUCUCCAUGCAAGCGAACCCUGCUCACCCUCCACCAAUUGCUUCACCGAAUCUUCACCAGCAGAGUACUCACCAUCUUUCUGGACAACUCACCGUUUCCGCAGCAGCGUAUAUUCGGUUAUCCCAGGCUCCGCAUCAUUCCUCCACUCCAACCACCAUUCAUCAAACAUGCUGUGCCUCCAGUCCUGGUUCCAGUUCAAUAUCCACUACCUGUCAAAAUAAACUUUUCUCCUGCCUCCUGAGUGUCAUUCUGCAUGUGGGUCAAAUCAGUGAAGAAAACAAUGACACAGGAAGUUUAAAUCAGGUGGUUUAGUUAAUAUAGAAUAUAUUAGGUCUUCCAGCUUGAGUACAGCUAGAUAAAAGAAUUGCAUUUGGCUGUCGUAAAUGAUCAAUACGGGACAUCUCGGAGACAUGGUUCUCUGAAGUGCUCAGACAGACUGGUGUGUCUGGAGGAUGCAUUUGAGCAGCUGAUGAAACAAAUAGGCGUAUCCCACCACGAUUGUGAUGUGCUAUAUUUCCCAAUAGGGUUUCUCCAUUUUUGUUGUGUCACUCCCCCAAUUGUCCCAUAUUCACAAUUAAAUCUAGGUUGCAUCACUUUUUAGGACUUUCUCAGCGUUUCUCUCUUACAGAGUAAUAUAUUAGAUGUCAGUUGAACAUGUGAGUUGU
Molecule: long non-coding RNA, 910 nt
Organism: Girardinichthys multiradiatus
Lineage: Eukaryota; Metazoa; Chordata; Actinopteri; Cyprinodontiformes; Goodeidae
Exons: 4
Source: RefSeq, a predicted model, not a curated record